CCCCGUGACAGUUGCUGCCGAUCAUGAAGCGGGUGGCGUGCGUUCACUUAGCGCUGGCUUCGCUCUUCCUCUUUGCAGAGGCUGCAGUCGUGACCCAGCGGCAGAUGUCCAUCGUGACCCGUAAAAAGCAGCCGGCGCGACUGGACUGUCAGGUGACCGGCACGGAUUUCCGCAGAGCCGUCGUCCACUGGUAUCGGCACACAGAUGGUGGCGUCCCCAGAUGGCUCCUCUCCUCCAGCCCCACCAAGAUUGAGUACGACAGCUCGAUCGAGAGCAGCCGGGUAGUGGCGGAGCGGGACUCGGCCGGCGGGCACUGCACCCUCAUCAUCCACUGGGCUGAGCUCAGCGAUCAGGGCACCUACAUGUGCGCCAUCUGGAAACUCACAGUGCUGUGCACGGAGGGAGCGCCAUGCAGGAAAUGCGAGAGUGCAGCGCCGCCUCUGAGGGGCUCGGCCCCCCACGGUGCGUCAUGGAAAGCACGCCUUGGGUGGUCGGAAGGUCUGCGAUGCACAUGGAGCCUGGUGGGCUCAUCGGGGCUCCUGACUGCCACAUACUUUGACUUGCGCUAA
Non-coding RNA from Erpetoichthys calabaricus (reedfish), 569 nucleotides. Lineage: Eukaryota; Metazoa; Chordata; Cladistia; Polypteriformes; Polypteridae. The record is from the annotation of a RefSeq genome assembly.